This 1128-nucleotide ribosomal RNA is filed under the name Triticum aestivum (bread wheat). Its description in RNAcentral is "partial small subunit ribosomal RNA". The record is from RNAcentral. Lineage: Eukaryota; Viridiplantae; Streptophyta; Magnoliopsida; Poales; Poaceae.
AUGGCUGAACCAACUGGUCUUGCCGAGGCUUUGGAGAAGCUCGCUAAGAUCCUCGCGGAGUCCAACUCUGGGGCCAUCGUUCCUCGACAGGAAGUGGCUCAAAAGCUUGAAAUGUCGCCCCUGGACAUGAAGCUAGAGGGGGCAACAAAUUAUUUGAGCUGGUCCAGAAGGGCUUUGUGGGCUGUGGAGCAGAAGGAGCUUGAUGGAUAUUUGUUGGGCACCGUUGUAGAACCAAGGGACACGAGUAGUGCAGAGGGCAAGAGGUGGAAGGUCAUCCACUCUGUACUUAUGGUGUGGUUGUUGAACUCCGUGGUGCCCUCCAUUGGACGCUCUGUGGAGGGGCUAUCCUCACCUGCUGAGAUAUGGAAGAUUCUGUCCACUCAAUACUCUGGCAAGGGCAAUGUCAUGCUCAUUGCUCAGAUUGAGGACAAGAUUAGGUUGCUGCGUCAAGAUGAUGGCAUGUCAGUGAUGACAUACGUGGCAGAACUGCAGGCUCUGUGGGCUGACCAGGAUAACUGUGAUCCCUUGGAACUCUAUGAUGCGGCUUCAAUCGAGUCAGGCCAUAAGUGGAUGGCACGCAGGCGUGUGCUGAAAUUUUUGGCUGGCCUCAAAGGUUGCUUUGAUGGCAGGAAGGCUUCCCUGUUGCACCAACCUAGUCUGCCUACCAUUCCUGAGGCUAUUGCAGCGAUGACUCAAGAGGAGGUGCGCCUAUCCCUUGAGCAUGCAGACAUGAAGGUUGUGCCAGCUUCGACAUUUGCAGUCACUGAGCGCAUGGAGUGGGGAGAUCCCACCAAAUGUCAUAUCUGUGGGGAGGUAGGUCACUGGAAGAGAGAAUGUCCAACUCGUGGCAGAGGCAGGGGAUAUAACAGAGGGGAAGCAGGCAGAGGUAGAAGUGCUCGAGGCAGAGGUGGAUACUCAGAGACCUCAUGGAGCCAGGCUUCUAGAGGUAGAGGUGGCUACUCAGGACACUCAGGGGGUCAGAGGGCUCACAUGGCCGUUGCAGGAGACACUGGGACGUCCAAAGGCAAAGAUGUAGAUGAUGUUGCCUAUGGAGACUUUGCUCACUGGGCCUUCACUGAUGAAGGAGCGACAGACGAGCCAGACGGUUGGGACUGGCACCAGGCGUAG